CAUACAUGUCGUCGUCGUCGUACCAAAACCAAGUCGACGUUGGUCGCGUGGACCGGGCGGGCCGCCAAACUGUGCAAGCAACACGGCGAAUGCGCGCGACAUCGCGUGGUAUAAACCGCUUCCCCGUCCCGUGCCCGCCACUUUCUCGAUCGUCUUCUCUUGCCGCGUCGCCCACGCCGGCGGGGAAGCAGAGGAGCGAGCUCGCCGCAGAUCCCGACGCAGCAAGUCAAACCCCCUCCGGGGGGCGCGCCGCGCGCGAUAAUAGUAGUCUUCUACUACUAGUGUGGAUCUCCCCCCUCUUGACGCCACGCCCAGAUCCUCGAGUGCCACCGGCGAACCGCCCUGGAUCCCGCGN
Molecule: long non-coding RNA, 355 nt
Filed under: Oryza brachyantha (malo sina)
Lineage: Eukaryota; Viridiplantae; Streptophyta; Magnoliopsida; Poales; Poaceae
Description: long non-coding RNA (OBRA_LNC002139)
Source: RNAcentral